This is a long non-coding RNA of Micropterus dolomieu (smallmouth bass), 897 nucleotides long. RefSeq lists it as uncharacterized. Lineage: Eukaryota; Metazoa; Chordata; Actinopteri; Centrarchiformes; Centrarchidae. The record is from RefSeq and is a predicted model, not a curated record. The transcript has 4 exons.
GUUUACAGCAGAAAACUCGUUCCCGGCUAACGUUAUAUCUGUAACGGUACGUUAAUUGUGUAAAACGUGAGACACGCUAACGCUAACUUAACGUUACCGAGCAUUAUAUGUUCCCCUGCAGGAUUUAGAUUGACACGUUGACAAUCUCCUACCUCGCUCUUGCAUCGGGCGUACGACUCAUCUUUACAGAAAGGCAGCUAAUAAAAUGUAACGUUGUUCAGUGUCCAGCCACCUAAGUUAAUCGGCACCCAGAUUUAUCGCUAGCUAACUUCUUCUCUCCCAGGCUAGCACGCCAGUCUGCCGUUUCCAUGGAGUCCCCGGCGUUUCCGCUUGAGGAAUGCAUUAUGGGAGACUGAGUUGUUGAUUGACUAUUUUUUUUCUCCUCUCCGUUUUCCUUUUUGAAGUUGUUACUACAACGAAACAACGAGCCAGCUCUGAGCAGUUUUUUUUUCUUCAGAAAGUUGAAGAUGGCGGCAGAGCUACCAUGUAGCCUAAUGGACUGUCCAAACCAUCAGAAGCAAUUAGGGUUCAGCAUCUUGCCCAAUGGUAAUAGGAGCUGGAGAUCGAACCACCAACCCAUUAUUGCCUGCUGUACCCGCUGAGCCACAGGAGCUGGAGUAGAAAAUGUCACCAGAUCAAAUUAGUGGGAGCCUGCAACACUGCCUGUCUGCCUCUGUCUGUCUAUUCCACGGAGUGAUAGCGUCACUCAUGGAAGUUUCCAGAAGUUUAUUUGUGUCCAAACUUCCCCAGGUGUACAAGGUCAGUAUCAGCUGUCUACAGGGAACAUCACUCCCUCAUACCCAGACCACAACAAAAGGACAAACACAGACACACUAAGGACAGAAGGCAGGGGAGACGUUCUCUCUGCAGUCUGCCUCUUUAUUUCUCAUUCAACUU